UAAAACUGGCAUGCUUGAGCGCAGGGAGAGGGAAGUGGAAUUUCUGGUGUAGCGGUGAAAUGCGUAGAUAUCAGGAGGAACACCAGUGGCGAAGGCGGCUUCCUGGCCUGUUACUGACGCUGAGGCGCGAAAGCGUGGGGAGCAAACAGGAUUAGAUACCCUGGUAGUCCACGCUGUAAACGAUGAGUGCUAGGUGUUGGUGGUAUCGAAUCCAUCAGUGCCGUAGCUAACGCGAUAAGCACUCCGCCUGGGGAGUACGGUCGCAAGACUGAAGCUCAAAGGAAUUGACGGGGGCCCGCACAAGCGGUGGAGCAUGUGGUUUAAUUCGACGCAACGCGAAGAACCUUACCAGGGCUUGACAUCUACCUGACCGGUCUGGAAACAGGUUUUUCCCUUUUGGGACAGGUAGACAGGUGGUGCAUGGUUGUCGUC
Molecule: ribosomal RNA, 432 nt
Filed under: uncultured bacterium
Lineage: Bacteria
Description: bacterial SSU rRNA
Rfam family: Bacterial small subunit ribosomal RNA
Source: RNAcentral